AUGUUGUUUGGUCAUGCACCAUCAUAUAUAUGUUGUUGUACUGUCUACUUUAGUGAUCUAAAACGUCUUAUAUUUGUUUACAGAGGUGGUAACAUACUCCCUCUGAAUCAAAAUAUAAGACGUUUUUUGGUUUUGCAUAGGGCAUUAAAAAUGUCAUACAUUUUGUCACGGAGGGAUCUUAAACAGAUUUCGUUAGAUGGUUCUCAAAGCACAUGUUUUGUGUUGGAUAUCCCCCCUUUAUCAGUGAUUAGAAUAUCACUUCAAAGUAGCCUAGAGGUGUAUUCAUCCAGCUUGUCUUUUUUAGAAGCCUCUAUAUUAAUGUUAGCUGAACCAUUGAUAACCCUUUCACAUAAUCUCACUGUCCACUGA
Molecule: ribosomal RNA, 369 nt
Filed under: Triticum aestivum (bread wheat)
Lineage: Eukaryota; Viridiplantae; Streptophyta; Magnoliopsida; Poales; Poaceae
Description: partial small subunit ribosomal RNA
Source: RNAcentral